GGGUCAGUAGGUUGGUCGUGCCACCGGUACGUACUGGUCUCACUGAUUCCUCCUUCCUGAAGAACCGUAAUGCCAUUAAUUUGGUGUUGCGGGGAAACAGGACUGUUACUUUGAAAGAAUUAGAGUGUUUAAAGCAAGCUAACGCUUGGAUACAUUAGCAUGGAAUAAUGAAAUAGGACGAUCGAUCCUAUUUUGUUGGUUUCUAGGAUUGACGUA
Molecule: ribosomal RNA, 216 nt
Filed under: Glomeromycotina sp.
Lineage: Eukaryota; Fungi; Glomeromycota
Description: partial small subunit ribosomal RNA
Rfam family: Eukaryotic small subunit ribosomal RNA (bases 40-216)
Source: RNAcentral